Molecule: transfer RNA, 73 nt
Filed under: Bos taurus (domestic cattle)
Lineage: Eukaryota; Metazoa; Chordata; Mammalia; Artiodactyla; Bovidae
Also listed under: 1 other name
Rfam family: tRNA
About the family: Transfer RNA (tRNA) molecules are approximately 80 nucleotides in length. Their secondary structure includes four short double-helical elements and three loops (D, anti-codon, and T loops). Further hydrogen bonds mediate the characteristic L-shaped molecular structure. tRNAs have two regions of fundamental functional importance: the anti-codon, which is responsible for specific mRNA codon recognition, and the 3' end, to which the tRNAs corresponding amino acid is attached (by aminoacyl-tRNA synthetases). tRNAs cope with the degeneracy of the genetic code in two manners: having more than one tRNA (with a specific anti-codon) for a particular amino acid; and 'wobble' base-pairing, i.e. permitting non-standard base-pairing at the 3rd anti-codon position.
Source: Rfam by way of RNAcentral
UCCCUGGUGGUCCAGUGGCUAAGGCUUCUUGCUUCCAAUGCAGGAGGCCUGGGUUUGAUCCCUGGUCAGGGAA